Molecule: ribosomal RNA, 117 nt
Filed under: Hyphomonadaceae bacterium
Lineage: Bacteria; Pseudomonadati; Pseudomonadota; Alphaproteobacteria; Hyphomonadales; Hyphomonadaceae
Also listed under: 1 other name
Source: RNAcentral
UCUGGUGAUUAUUACGUAGAGGUCACACCCGUUCCCAUUCCGAACACGGCAGUUAAGCUCUACAGUGCUUACGAUACUUGGCGGGCAGCUGCCUGGGAAAAUAGGUCAUCGCCGGAA